This 1464-nucleotide ribosomal RNA is filed under the name Bacillus cereus. RNAcentral describes it as "bacterial SSU rRNA". It matches the Rfam family "Bacterial small subunit ribosomal RNA". The record is from RNAcentral. Lineage: Bacteria; Bacillati; Bacillota; Bacilli; Caryophanales; Bacillaceae.
UGGGCGUCGGCUGGGAGCCUAAUAAUGCAGUCGAGCGAUGGAUUAAGAGCUUGCUCUUAUGAAGUUAGCGGCGGACGGGUGAGUAACACGUGGGUAACCUGCCCAUAAGACUGGGAUAACUCCGGGAAACCGGGGCUAAUACCGGAUAACAUUUUGAACCGCAUGGUUCGAAAUUGAAAGGCGGCUUCGGCUGUCACUUAUGGAUGGACCCGCGUCGCAUUAGCUAGUUGGUGAGGUAACGGCUCACCAAGGCAACGAUGCGUAGCCGACCUGAGAGGGUGAUCGGCCACACUGGGACUGAGACACGGCCCAGACUCCUACGGGAGGCAGCAGUAGGGAAUCUUCCGCAAUGGACGAAAGUCUGACGGAGCAACGCCGCGUGAGUGAUGAAGGCUUUCGGGUCGUAAAACUCUGUUGUUAGGGAAGAACAAGUGCUAGUUGAAUAAGCUGGGCACUCUGACGGACAUACCCAUAUAACCAGGGCUAAGUGCGUGCCAGCACCCGGGGAUAUUUUUAGGUGGCAAGCGUUUUCCCGACUUGUUGGGCCUAAAGGCGGGCCGCGGGUUUACUCAAUUGAGAUGUGAACAGCCCCGGGCUCACCCGUGGGGGGUACUUUGAAACUGGGAACUUGAGCGCCAGAAGGGGGAAAUGGAUUUCCCAUUUGCCCGUGUAAUUCGUGGAGAUAAGGAGCAACCUCCGUGGUCAAGGUGGCUUUUUGGGCUUUCACUCAUCAUUAGGGGGUAAAACCCGGGGAACCACCAUGGUUAGAUACCCUCGUAGAUACCGCCGUGAACGAUGAGGGUUAACAGGUAGAGGGUUUUCCCUCUUUUAGCGCUGAAGUUUACCCAUUUACCAAUCCCCCCCGGGAGUGAGGCCGCAAGGUUGAAAUUCAAAGGAAUUGACGGGGGGCCCCCCCAGCGGUGGAACAAGUGGUUUAAAUCGAAGCCACCCGAAGAACCUUCCCAGGUCCUGGCAUCCUUUUACAACCCUAGAGAUAGGGAUUUUCCUUCGGGAGCAGAGUUACAGGUGGUGCCAGGUUUUCGUCCGCUCCUGUCGUGAGGUGGUGGGUUAAAUCCCGCAACGAGCGCCACCCUUGAUUUUAGUUGCCAUCAUUAAGUUGGGCCCUCUUAGGGGACUGCCGGUGACAAACCGGAGGAAGGUGGGGAAGGCGUCAAAUCAUCCUGCCCCCUUUUGCCUUGGCUACCCACGUGCUACAAUGGACGGUACAAAGAACUGCAAGACCCCGAGGUGGAACUAAUUUCAUAAAACCGUUUUCAGUUUGGAUUGUUGGCUGCAACUUGCCUUCAUGAAGCCGGAAUCGCUAGGAAUCGCGGAUCAACCAGCCGCGGGGAAUACGUUUCCGGGCCUUGUACCCCCCGCCCGUCCCCACCCGAGAGUUUGUAACCCCCGAAGUCGGUUGGGUAACCUUUGGAGCCAGCCGCCUAUAGAGUUGACCGUCUCCCA